AACCCCCAACUCAGAGUUGCACCUGGAAAGUUUCCAGUACUCUACCAGUCUCGGCUACGGGAGGGAGAGUAAAGCAGAGGCAUACCCAUUCCAUUCCUAGCUUGGGCAGUGGCUAGCGAGUGGAAGGCAAUCUGUUACAAGU
This is a small nucleolar RNA of Tachyglossus aculeatus (Australian echidna), 142 nucleotides long. The record is from RefSeq and is a predicted model, not a curated record. Lineage: Eukaryota; Metazoa; Chordata; Mammalia; Monotremata; Tachyglossidae.